Molecule: ribosomal RNA, 517 nt
Filed under: Nilakantha cockerelli
Lineage: Eukaryota; Metazoa; Arthropoda; Arachnida; Araneae; Salticidae
Description: partial 16S ribosomal RNA
Rfam family: Bacterial large subunit ribosomal RNA (bases 137-430)
Source: RNAcentral
AGCCGCAAUUUCGUGCUAAGGUAGCAUAAUCACUUGUUCCUUAAAUGGGAACUAGAACAAAAGAUUUAACAUUUUAAUUAAUUUUUUCAAAUAAAAAUUUAAACUUUUCUCAAAUGUAAAAAGACAUUUAUUUAUAAGAAAGACGAUAAGACCCUAUUGAACUUAACUUAAGUUAAACUGGGGUAGUAAAUUAAUUAUAAUUUUAAUAAAACUAAUUUUCAAAAAAUCUAUUUAAAUAAAUAAUUCAGUUACCAUAGGGAUAACAGCAUAAUUAUAUUCUAAAGCUCUUAUAAAAAAAUAAGUUUAUGACCUCGAUGUUGAAUUAAUAACCUAAUUUAAGCAAAAUUAAGAAUAGGAGGUCUGUUCGACCUUUAAAAAAUUACAUGAUUUGAGUUCAGACCGGUGUAAGCCAGGUCGGUUUCUAUCUUCUUAAAAGUUUUUUACAGUACGAAAGGACCUAAAAAUAUUUAUUUAAUUGGCAGAAAAAUGCAUUAGAAUUAGAAUCUAAAUAAAAUAA